UACGGAGGGUGCAAGCGUUAUCCGGAUUCACUGGGUUUAAAGGGUGCGUAGGUGGGUUGGUAAGUCAGUGGUGAAAUCCCCGAGCUUAACUUGGGAACUGCCAUUGAUACUAUCAGUCUUGAAUACCGUGGAGGUUAGCGGAAUAUGCCAUGUAGCGGUGAAAUGCUUAGAUAUGACAUAGAACACCAAUUGCGAAGGCAGCUCACUAAGCAAAUAUUGACGCUGAGGCACGAAAGCGUGGGGAUCAAACAGG
This 253-nucleotide ribosomal RNA is filed under the name uncultured bacterium. Its description in RNAcentral is "partial 16S ribosomal RNA". It matches the Rfam family "Bacterial small subunit ribosomal RNA", at positions 524 to 776 of the family's 1533-position model. The record is from RNAcentral.